AAAUCUUCUUCUUCUUCUUCCCAAUACCCUCACCCUACCCUACCCCCACUCAUCCCUAAACCAAAUCCAGAGUCGCUCGCCACCGUCAACUUCCACUAUCGCCACCACCACUGCCACAGCCACCGCCAUCACCACCCACCCCUUCACCUUCUUCCCCAAUGAAAAGUCAAGAAUUAAAUUUUAACCCCACUAAAAUGUAAUCUCUUUCAUUAAUUUUUCUCUUUAAUUUCUUCAUUCAAACAAUUGGGUUUUGAGAAAAUCCGAAACCUCUCAAAUUCAAUCAUACGAUUAUAGACCAUUUUGGCCAGAGGAAGAGAAUGUAUAUCUAUUCAAUUAUAGCCCAUGAUUUUUAAUUCUUAGAUGAGCCGAUGAAGGGGUGCAAUUUUCCAUGGUGCAAAAUUCACUCUUCCUGGUAGUGAAUACCAUGGAGUCCCCAAGAUGGACCAGCAUAUAUGAGAGCUCCAUAUUCAUCGACCAAGCUCACGGCAGGCUGGGAAACGAGAAAUUGGCAAUUUUCACUCUUUUUUUUUUUUUUUUUUUUUUUUUUUU
RNAcentral lists this long non-coding RNA (549 nucleotides) under Olea europaea (common olive). RNAcentral's name for it is "long non-coding RNA (OEUR_LNC010307)". The record is from RNAcentral. Lineage: Eukaryota; Viridiplantae; Streptophyta; Magnoliopsida; Lamiales; Oleaceae.